UGAGAGGUGGUGAUGCUGGUAUGGCAGGAUAAAACUCUCUUAAAUGGCAUGGUUGUCGUUGGUCUCGAUCAAUGCUCUUUCAAAUGGGUUCAGGGUCUUUCUUCUAACGCCAAUCUAUUGGUGCGAGAUCUGCAAGGUAUCGGGAUGCUGUAGUGGAUGGCAAGAUGGAUUCUCUUGGGAUGUAACCUAUAAAAAGUUUCUGAUCGAAGGUUGGUCCGAUGAGAACUCUCCGAUGCUCAAGUCAAAAUUCUCAUUCAACAAAUAGAGGAGCGUGAAAGGCAGAGCAACGGCAUAUCUUUUUUAGAGUCCCCUUUGGGCC
This 319-nucleotide long non-coding RNA is filed under the name Elaeis guineensis (African oil palm). RNAcentral describes it as "long non-coding RNA (EGUI_LNC028413)". The record is from RNAcentral. Lineage: Eukaryota; Viridiplantae; Streptophyta; Magnoliopsida; Arecales; Arecaceae.